GCCAGCUGGGAUUUGAAGAUGAGAGGAAAAAUCGGGUGAAGGCUGCCUUGGAGAACUGGUUCGGUGCUGGGAGAAGGAAGAUGGACGGCUGGUGUCGGGGUGUAGAUGUAACACGGGGUUCGGUGAGGCUGAUUUGUGGUUGAGAGAGGAGAGGGACGAUGGGUUGUGUAGGGGCUGAGGAUGGAUGGCUGUCGGUCAGAGAGAGGCUGGG
This 211-nucleotide long non-coding RNA is filed under the name Populus tremula. RNAcentral's name for it is "long non-coding RNA (PTRE_LNC001087)". The record is from RNAcentral. Lineage: Eukaryota; Viridiplantae; Streptophyta; Magnoliopsida; Malpighiales; Salicaceae.